Molecule: ribosomal RNA, 896 nt
Filed under: Mycobacterium terrae
Lineage: Bacteria; Bacillati; Actinomycetota; Actinomycetes; Mycobacteriales; Mycobacteriaceae
Description: Mycolicibacter terrae bacterial SSU rRNA
Rfam family: Bacterial small subunit ribosomal RNA
Source: RNAcentral
GCCCUUCGGGGUACUCGAGUGGCGAACGGGUGAGUAACACGUGGGUGAUCUGCCCUGCACUUUGGGAUAAGCCUGGGAAACUGGGUCUAAUACCGAAUAGGACCAUGGGAUGCAUGUUCUGUGGUGGAAAGCUUUUGCGGUGUGGGAUGGGCCCGCGGCCUAUCAGCUUGUUGGUGGGGUGAUGGCCUACCAAGGCGACGACGGGUAGCCGGCCUGAGAGGGUGUCCGGCCACACUGGGACUGAGAUACGGCCCAGACUCCUACGGGAGGCAGCAGUGGGGAAUAUUGCACAAUGGGCGCAAGCCUGAUGCAGCGACGCCGCGUGGGGGAUGACGGCCUUCGGGUUGUAAACCUCUUUCAGUAUCGGCGAAGCUUGCGGGUUUUCUCGCAGGUGACGGUAGGUACAGAAGAAGCACCGGCCAACUACGUGCCAGCAGCCGCGGUAAUACGUAGGGUGCGAGCGUUGUCCGGAAUUACUGGGCGUAAAGAGCUCGUAGGUGGUUUGUCGCGUUGUCCGUGAAAACUCACAGCUCAACUGUGGGCGUGCGGGCGAUACGGGCAGACUAGAGUACUGUAGGGGAGACUGGAAUUCCUGGUGUAGCGGUGGAAUGCGCAGAUAUCAGGAGGAACACCGGUGGCGAAGGCGGGUCUCUGGGCAGUAACUGACGCUGAGGAGCGAAAGCGUGGGGAGCGAACAGGAUUAGAUACCCUGGUAGUCCACGCCGUAAACGGUGGGUACUAGGUGUGGGUUUCCUUCCUUUAGGGAUCCGUGCCGUAGCUAACGCAUUAAGUACCCCGCCUGGGGAGUACGGCCGCAAGGCUAAAACUCAAAGGAAUUGACGGGGGCCCGCACAAGCGGCGGAGCAUGUGGAUUAAUUCGAUGCAACGCGAAGAAC